RNAcentral lists this long non-coding RNA (871 nucleotides) under Pan troglodytes (chimpanzee). RNAcentral's name for it is "long non-coding RNA NONPTRT008755". Lineage: Eukaryota; Metazoa; Chordata; Mammalia; Primates; Hominidae. The record is from RNAcentral.
GGCAGGCACCAGAGGCACAGAUCACCUCAACCCCAUCUCUGUCUCGGCUGACCUGAAGCUUGUUUUUCCUCUUGGGAAACUCAGCAGCAGGAUUUUUCCCUCAGAGAAACAUCACAUUUAAAGCAUACAUAGAAAAAGAGUACGAAGUUGCCAACCUAAAAGAACAACCAAGAGAGAGUGGUUCUCCAAAGAAGUGAAUGUUUGGGAAUAAACAGAGGAUUUCAAUCCAGGAUAUGCGCACUAUCGUAUGAGGACCCAAAGGCACAACCAGGCAGGCUGAGAAGGGGAACCUUUAACAGCGAAAAUGAGGAAGGCUACAUAGUUGUUUUGAAACAAUUAUCCUUGGCCACAAGGAAUAAUCACAAGGGUGGCAUCAGUCCAAGGAUGAAUAGGCAGUUGCUGGGCAGAUGUCCUUGCAGAGAGAUUCUUUGGGUAAGGUUGUGGUGGCCUUUGUGCAAAGUUGUGGUUUUCAGAGAGUUCUUGUAAUAGUUUUUAUCACAGGCAUGUGUGUGUGAGCACCCCUCCUUUAUGAUCUCCUGAUUGAAUUUUGUUAGGAUUUGGCAUACAUGACUCUAUUUUUCAUUCUGACAACUUUUACAGGUCAUUGCUUUUCAUCCAUUUUUACUAAGGGCUGGACUUGCUUAAAUUCCAGGAAAUUAUGAGGUCUUGAUUCGUAUAAUUAUCAGAAGUGCUCAUGUUGCUGACUCAGUUGCCUAUUUGGGAUGUUAUAAUUGUCUUUUUUCUCCUUCCUGUGCUGUAAUUUACACAAUCCUUAGGGGAGAUUAAUUUGAUACUUUUCAGCUGUGAAAAACUUGAAUAUGCCAAUCAAAGAAAGGUUCCCCUCACAUGCUAGGAAUUUAGUUUCUUUCCU